UUUUCUAGUAUUACAUGACAGCUUGGGGUCAAGAGAACUUGACUGGGAAGUGAAACACCCAAGUUCAAUUCUUCAUUCUCUAGGUUUUAAAGACCUACCUCUUACCACCUCUGGGAGCAACUGGGAGGAUCUUGGCUGAUAUAAGGCAGUAAUAUUUCCAAGUAAAUAGGAGAUGGGCCAAGCAGUUCCCUCUGAAUUACUGUUCAUCAGGCUUUCACACUCUAUUAAGGUCUCCACUCCCAUCACCUUCUCCUGAGUUUUAAGUCUGCUGUCUCCCUACCUAGAGGAUGAUUUGGGUCACACAGCCAAAAAGAUCUUCGCUGGCAUCUAGAAGACUCAUGCAGAGAAGCAAGGAGCUGGAAGGAUAAGAUGGGAAAAAUUAUAAUGUCCGAAGAAUAAUUAGUUUGUGGAUGCAGAACUAGAAGAUGUUAAGGAGAAACACAUUUUCUGAAAAGUAAUGCUGAAGGUCAUGUCCUCAAUGUAUUUGUGUAUUUCUUUCUAGCGCAACUGGGGGUGAAAUGACACAGGUCAAUAUUGGGAAUUCAUAUUGAAAUUCUUGCCUAACUCUUGUUUCUCUGAGUAUUCUGCUGAAUUCUUUGUGGCUGUCCACAGCGGCAGAAGGGAGCAAAUCCAUUGUCCUGCACCAGCCCUUGCAGAUCUUUAAGUCCAUGUGAAAUUUGCAGGUUCCACCAAAUGGUGGAUGUGUUGUUACAUAUAUUGCAUAUGUAUUGCAUAACACAUACAUGUAUAUGUAUUGUAUAACCCUUAUAUUAUUAUCCCUGACUUUCCUGCACUUCAGUUUCCCCACUGGGAACUGGUAGGACCUUAUCUUUAAGGAUCAUCCCUGGAGGUCACUCAAGGGUAGUACCAUCAUGGCAAUGUAAUCUGGAUGCAUAUUCUUUUCUCCGGCUUAUUUCCAUGGUGCCAGUAAUACUGUGCAUGGUCCUACUUAACCUGCUCUGUCCCUCUCUGUUUCAGGGGAGAAUAUGGCCCGGGGCAUCCUUCCGUUCCAUGUAUCACGCUUCCAUUUCCCUUCACCCCGCAGGAGAUAAAGAACUUCAGAUUGAUGGAAGAGCUGACCUGUUUUGGGGUAUCAGGAUCUGGGUGUCAAGCGGGCUGGAGCCUGCAAUGCCUUUAGCUGGAACAGAGGACUCUAUUGCUUCAGAGAACUGAGUCCAGCAUUAUUUAACUAAGGCCAAAGGCAAGUCAAAAACUGUUUUAGGUUUAUAAUCAAAAUUUCCUGGUUUUCAACCCUUUGCUCAUUCCACUCAACCAUACUGGCUCUCUGAAGUGCUAGCGGUGCGGAAGGAAGAAGAUGCUUUAUGAUCCUUGAUGACUAUAAAGUAGCAAAUAAAGCUCUAGGGUGCUUUCAAGCUCACAGUGAUUUCAUGGGGUGGAAAAUUAAUCAUGCAGCAGUUACUGAAGAAUAUAUUUUUUUUACAUUAGCUGCUUGGGUCUUUUUCCAAACCAGAAGAUGAUAAAGCGCUUCCCAAUACUGGAUGAAGACAAAAGAAAGUGUCAUCAACACAAGCAGUAAAAUAAGCUGAAUAAGCUUGUUUGGACUCCUGGUUACUAAUCUAAUCCUUUUACAAUCAUUUUUGGCUCUAGAAAUAAGAACUAUUUGCAAAAUAAACAUUUUUUUUAAUGCCCCAGUCAGAUUAUUGCAAAUGUUGAAUCUCAUAUCCUUGAUCUAGUCUUUCAAACUUCAAUAACUGCCAAUCUUUACUUACUACAGAAUGUUGGUAUACUCUGCGUAAAUCUAUGGACACUUAAAUUUUUGGAAAGUGCUUAUAAAUUGUUCCCUACAGUCAAUAUACAUCAGUAGAUACAGCUAAAAUAAAACAGACAGUGGUUUGAGGUUUCUGGAGACUCCCAAUAUUCCUACUGAAAAAAAAAAAUCUUAGCUUUAUUUUUUCCACUGCUAUUUCACAGACCAGUUUUCUUACAUCAUAGAUCUUUCUUGAGACCUCUAUCAUAUUGCAAAUAUUGGGGAUCUCUUUGGGGCCCCAGAUUGUCUAUGUGGAGGAUAAUUCUCAAAUGCUCAAGGUUCAUAUACACAGGGUUUAUUUUCCAGCUGAAAGUUGUCCUUAUCUAAAUGAGGCCAUCUGGGGUUUCCGGCAUGGUUACAGUCUCCUUGUAAGCCUGAACAUUCCCCUUUUCAUAGGCUGCAGAAGCCCAUGAGCACUGGGAUUUCAUAUGCUCUGAGCAAGGUCAAACUUAGCAUUUUCCACCAAUGUCAUUACAUCAGUGCAGCAUGGAUGAAGAAUGGAAAUCAUGCUGUUGUUACAGCAAAGCCAGCUCCCUGGUUUUGCAGUGCUGCCACCCUUUCAUCAUCGUGUUGCACCUCUGCCACCUUCCCAACGCUUGGGUCAAAACCUAAUUACUGAAUUUGGAAGGGAGGUUAACUUUUUGAGUAGUACCUGUCUUCAACUUAACCAAGCAUUUUUUCUUGAAACAAAAUGGAGCCCAGUUGCCAAGCAAUUUAUAUUUACCUGUUCCUUGAAUUUCAGCAAUAGAAGGAUCCUUUUACCCUAAUUAAAAUUCUAGGAUCAAGGCUGUAUAAUUACCAAUAUUUUUCUCUUUUAAUUGCAGUCUGUUAGUCUAAGAAGGUGCUACACAUCUGUGGCACCAGACCACUUCCACCACAGGCUCCUAGUAAGGAGAAAAUCUGGGACUUCACCAAGAAUAACUUAAAGCAGGAGAAACCAAAUGAUCACAAGAUGGAAGAAAUACUAAAACAAAAACAGACUCAGAGAAGCCCAUUGGUCAUCGUCAGGUUUUUCAGCUCUUCUAGUGCCAAGCUGUAGUAUGUGCUAGAUAUUUCUGAAGAGCUGUGUGCAGGCAGAAGGUCAUGAAUAACUGUGGGGGUUGGCACCGGCUGAGUUACAACAGUUCCCAUGAAAUACUUUGUCUUGCAGCCAGCUGUUUCCUGACAUAAGCAGCCACAAUCCUUGUUAGCCCACUGCCCAACAACAAAUUUAAUUUGGAGUUAAAUAACUCAGCAAGUUGAGAAAACUGAAUCAUAAGAAAAGUUUUUUUUUUUUUUUUUUUUUUUUUUUUUUUAAUGAUAAAUUCAUGUUUUGUAACUUAUGGAUGCAGAACAAGAUCUCAUUAUGUAUUUUGUUACAAACCUUGUGUAAAUUAGUAAAAGCAGUUCAAACUGUAUAUAAUGUUGUGGUAUUCUCUGAAUUUCUACUGUAGGACUUACCUUCACUGUAUUUCAUGUUCUUCAUCCUCCUCGGAAGUGCGGAGCCUGUAGCUCAUUGUCAUAGCCGAACUCUUGACUAACAAGCAUGGUCUAAGUGCAGACCCUUAUCCAUGGCUUAUGGCUACUGUUGUUUAUUCCCAUUCGUGCAGAGUUCAGUGAGGGGAAUGAGAAAAUGGAUGAUUUAUUUGCCCCAGUGCCUGCUUAUUUGGGCAUCCAAGAUAUUGGAUCAAAUACAUCCAAUACAUUUCAUUGUAGUAUCUGACCCACUAUGUAUUCAAAACUAGAUGGAGCUGUAAUUCUCCCCCUGUACACCUCAUCCACUUGACAAAAUGUGGUUGCUUAUUUAGUAGAUGUGUUGGAGCUUGGCUUCUUUUUGGGGAAAGUUCCCAGCUGUGUGCAGCCUCUGAACAGUUUCCAUCCCUCCCUAGGAAGCAGUGCCUGCAUUUACCAGUGCUUCCACAGAAAAGUAGGUAUCUUUGGGCAGCCUUUAAUGGGGAGGGAAGGAGCUGCUGAUUAGGGUGAAAUCCUGGGAGUACUUUGAGUGUCAAACAAUGUUCAGUCUAUUUGGUGCAG
Long non-coding RNA from Anas platyrhynchos (mallard), 3781 nucleotides. RefSeq lists it as uncharacterized. Lineage: Eukaryota; Metazoa; Chordata; Aves; Anseriformes; Anatidae. The record is from RefSeq and is a predicted model, not a curated record.